RNAcentral lists this ribosomal RNA (406 nucleotides) under uncultured bacterium. RNAcentral describes it as "partial 16S ribosomal RNA". It matches the Rfam family "Bacterial small subunit ribosomal RNA", at positions 28 to 526 of the family's 1533-position model. The record is from RNAcentral.
GAUGAACGCUGCCAGAAUGCUUAACACAUCAGCAAUUGAUUGGUGGCGGACGGGUGAGUAACGCGUAAAGAACUUACCUCACAGUUAGGGACAACAUUUGGAAACGAAUGCUAAUACCUAAUACUGUGAGAGAGCUUUGCGUCCCAUUAGCUAGUUGGAGAGGUAACGGCUCACCAAGGCGAUGAUGGGUGGCCGGCCUGGUAGGGUGAUCGGCCACAAAGGGACUGAGACACGGCCCUUACGCCUACGGGAGGCAGCAGUGGGGAAUAAUGGACAAGGGACCAAAGUCUGAUCCAGCAAUUCUGUGUGCACGAUGAAGGUUUAGGAAUGUAAAGUGCUUUCAGUUGGGAAGCGGUACCAACAGAAGAAGUGACGGCUAAAUACGUGCCAGCAGCCGCGGUAAUUC